AGUGAACGCUGGCGGUAGGCCUAACACAUGCAAGUCGAACGGCAGCACAGAGGAGCUUGCUCCUUGGGUGGCGAGUGGCGGACGGGUGAGGAAUACAUCGGAAUCUACUCUGUCGUGGGGGAUAACGUAGGGAAACUUACGCUAAUACCGCAUACGACCUACGGGUGAAAGCAGGGGAUCCUCGGACCUUGCGCGAUUGAAUGAGCCGAUGUCGGAUUAGCUAGUUGGCGGGGUAAAGGCCCACCAAGGCGACGACCCGUAGCGGGUCUGAGAGGAUGAUCAGCCACACUGGAACUGAGCCACGGUCCCGCCUCCUACGGGAGGGCACAGUGGGGAAUAUUGGACAAUGGGCGCAAGCCUGAUCCAGCCAUACCGCGUGGGUGAAGAAGGCCUUCGGGUUGUAAAGCCCUUUUGUUGGGAAAGAAAUCCAUCUGGUUAAUACCCGGGUGGGAUGACGGUACCCAAAGAAUAAGCACCGGCUAACUACGUGCCAGCAGCCGCCGUAA
RNAcentral lists this ribosomal RNA (506 nucleotides) under uncultured bacterium. Its description in RNAcentral is "partial 16S ribosomal RNA". It matches the Rfam family "Bacterial small subunit ribosomal RNA", at positions 29 to 523 of the family's 1533-position model. The record is from RNAcentral.